This 453-nucleotide ribosomal RNA is filed under the name uncultured bacterium. Its description in RNAcentral is "bacterial SSU rRNA". It matches the Rfam family "Bacterial small subunit ribosomal RNA", at positions 28 to 524 of the family's 1533-position model. The record is from RNAcentral.
GACGAACGCUGGCGGCAGGCUUAACACAUGCAAGUCGAACGGUUGUAGCAAUACAGCAGUGGCAGACGGGUGAGUAACACGUGGGAACCUUCCUAGGGGUACGGAACAACUCAGGGAAACUUGAGCUAAUACCGUAUACGUCCGUGAGGAGAAAGAUUUAUCGCCCUUAGACGGGCCCGCGUCGGAUUAGCUAGUUGGUGGGGUAACGGCCUACCAAGGCGACGAUCCGUAGCUGAUCUUAGAGGAUGAUCAGCCACACUGGGACUGAGACACGGCCCAGACUCCUACGGGAGGCAGCAGUGGGGAAUCUUGGACAAUGGGCGCAAGCCUGAUCCAGCCAUGCCGCGUGAGUGAAGAAGGUCUUCGGAUUGUAAAGCUCUUUUGCCAGGGACGAUAAUGACGGUACCUGGAGAAUAAGCCCCCGGCAAACUUCGUGCCAGCAGCCGCGGUAAU